CGAGGUGGAAAAGGAAGAGGAGGAGGAGGUGGAGGAGGAGGGUGAGAGCGAGAGAGAAGAGCGCGAAGGGUUAGCUACUAAGGUAAUGGAGGGGCAGGGGAAGGGUACCGGUGGGGAGGGUAUAAUACGCGUCUGCCUUGCGCCACCAAACACCCACCAACCCCCUUCUUCCACAGGUGACUCAUACAGGUAUUCUCUCUCUCUCCACAGCACACGUGUCCCUCGCUACAGUUCUCAGCGCCGGAUGUUUACACAGCGUCCUCGGGCGUUUGGUGAAAUGUUACGUGGUUCCAUUACCUUGUGUUCCUUCUUUUCCUUGUUUUCUUUCAUACUUGUUCUUCUUUCCUUCCUCUUAUUCCUCCUUUUAUCUGUCUAUCUUCUUUUCCUUCUUACUUAUUCCUUCUUGUCAUCCAUUCGUCUCCUUAUUUUCCUUUUUAUUCCUUCUUGUUAUCUAUUCGUUUCCUUAUUUUCCUUCUUCCAUUCUCUUUUCUCCUCUCUUUAUUCAUAUGUGUCUAUCUAUCUUCUUUUUUUCCUCUCCUUUCCUUCGUAUUCGUAUGUGUAUCUAUCUCCUUUCCUUCUUCCCUUCCUUCUUGUUUUUAAUUUUAUCUGUAUUUUCUUUUCUUCUUCCUUCCCUUAUUAACUUUUCCUUCUCUCUAACUCUCUAUCUUCUUUUCCUCUCUUCCAUUUUUCCUGUUUUAUCCUUUUUUCUUAAUUUUACUUUUUAUUCAACUAUCUAUCUUUUCGUAUGUGUAUCUGUCUCCUUCUUCCCUUUCUUUCUUCUUGUUUUUAAUGUUAUCUGUAUUUUCUUUCCUCCUUCCUUCCGUUAUUAACUUUUCCUUCUCUCUAACUCUCUAUCUUCUUCUCUUCUAUCUUUCCUCUUUAUCCUUUUCUUCUGAAGUUUUACUCUUUAUUUAUUCUAUCUAUCUUUUCUUCUUAUUUAUCUUUAUCUUAUCUUCUUCCUUUCCUUCUCUUCCUACUUAUACGAUCUUCUUAUUCCUAAUAUAUUUCCAUCUAUCUCCUUUGUUUCUGCUUCGCUUCUUUCCUACUUACAUCCUUCCCGGUUAUUCCCACUAUCUAUCUAUCUUCUUAUUUCACUCCCGGAUAGGAACUGGUUUUUAUUUACGUGGAAGUUUGUAAAUAAUUAUAUACACGUACAAGAGUUAAAAAAAUAAAUAUCUCUCUUGGAUUCUUACUCACAGUGAUAUGCAUUUUUUUUUGGUUUUGUGUGUGUGUGUGUGUGUGUGUGUGUGUGUGUGUGUGUGUGUGUGUGUGUGCGCGUUUUUUAGGUUCUAUUUCGUAUUCAUAACAUUCUACAGUCACCAAAUGUUUAUGUGAAUUCGUAAAUGGACAUGAAUCUUUUUUAUGAUAUAGCGAUCUAGAAUUCUCGCUUAUGUUAUGCUAUGUUACGUUACGUGUUGUUAUGCUUCAUGCUAAGUUAUGUGAAGUUCUAAGUUAUGUGAUGCUCUGUGUUUUAUGAUAUAGCGGCCUAGGGUUGUCGCUUACUAAUGUUAUGUUAUGUUAGGUUAAGUUAGGUUAGGUUAGAUUAUGGUGUUAUGUUAUGUUAGGGUAAGUUAGAUUAGAUUAGAUGAGGUUAGGUUAGGUUAGGAAGUUAGGUUAGGUUAGAACAUGUUGUAAUGUUAUGCUAUGCUAUGUUACUUUUUGUUAAAUUAUGUUAUCCUUCAUGUUGUGUUCUAUUAUAGUAUGAAGUUAUGCUAUGUUUUGUUUUUUAAUGUGUUUUUGUUGUUGUGCUGCGUUAUGUUAUGCUGUGUUACGUUAUAUUAUGUGAUGUGAUGGUCUGUUUCCGUACUAACUUCGUACUAACGUGAUGCAUACCUGUACGUGACUAGACGAACCUCACCUCUACCACAACAAUCUCAGGUGUUGUUAUGUUAUGUUAUGCUACGUUACGUUAUCUCAUGAUGUUAUGUUAUGUGUUGUUGAGUGAUGCCAUGUCUCGUAAUGACUACUUAUAAAUGUGGUAUGUCUGUACGUGACUAGACAACCCUCACGUCUACCACAACGAUCUCAGGUGUUGUUAUGUUAUGUUAUGCUAUGUUACGUUAUCUCAUGGUGUUAUGUUACGUGUUGUUGAGUGAUGCUGUCUCUUAAUGACUACUUAUAAACAUGGUAUGCCUGUACGUGACUAGUCAACCCUCACGUCUUCCACAACGAUCUCAGGUGUUGUUAUGUUAUAUUAUGCUAUGUUACGUUAUCUCAUGGUGUUAUGUUAUGUAUUGUUGAGUGAUGCUAUGUCUCGUAAUGACUACUUAUAAACAUGGUAUGCCUGUACGUGACUAGACAACCCUCACGUCUACCACAACGAUCUCAGGUAUUAGCGUAAACGUCAGCAUACCUUGGGCAGGCGACUUCUGGGGAGCGUCAGUAGUCCAGCAGAUUCACGUUUAACACUCCUUCUCCUUCCUUGCAGGCGAUGAGUAAGCCACACACGGCAAGGGGGCACAGGACGAGCCUUCACGAGUUAUAAUGGAGAGAAGAUCCAGUCAGUCACACACGGAGCGAGGGCCCGGACGUACGCACCCCUCCCAGACCAGAGCAUGACUGAAGACUGAAGUGCGUCAGAGCUCACGAGUUAUCGAAGCGCAGUGAAGGAUCGGAAGGCGUGUGAGACGAAGCUUCGAGUAAUGAUUCAGUCACGGCUUCAUCAACCCCUGGACAGUGGACAUUCCCGCGGCGUUAGUGAGCUCCCAGACGUCGCUUGAGAAAGGGUUCUCCAAGAGUGGGAAGAGCGGCUGCGUGGAGGCUUGUUCGGGGAGACUGUCGUGGGUCGAGGCGGGUUGAGAGUGAAGCGACGCACCCCCAAACGGAUGUUCCCCGUUAGUAGUAGUCGGUCCUUCAAGUAUUCGACAGGACCCUUCGAGGACGUCAUAUAACUAGUAGUUAGUAGAGAGGGUAGUGGGCUGCUUACGAGCGAUGCCGUGGCACCACCAGGUUCUUCCUCAAAUCUUUCUGUACCAGUCCUCGGCGCAUCUUGAAUCCCGCCACGCAAUUGGGACUACUGUCGUCCUCACCGCCUGACACACAAGUUAUCAUCAGACUUUUCCUCCCAACUCCCCUGCACCAGCAAGGUGCAGGGUUACAUCAUGAGCUUCUAGAUCCUGUCAACCAUAAAACUUAAGCAGCUUGAGGACUUUGAUGAAGUAUAGCAUCAGGGGCAGCGACAGGACAUGUGGUGUUACUGAAGAGGUGGCCGACCAGUGACGGCUUCAGUUUCAUGGCUAUCAACUAAGUAGGGCUUUCUUUCGUGUACGAUAUUGACGAUCACUUUUCUUCUUCCCAGCGCAGCUCUGAAAUGUAAUGAUAAACAAUUACUAGACGUAAAUGGUGUUAUAA
Long non-coding RNA from Eriocheir sinensis (Chinese mitten crab), 3351 nucleotides. RefSeq lists it as uncharacterized. The transcript has 5 exons. NCBI's taxonomy places the organism in Eukaryota, Metazoa, Arthropoda, Malacostraca, Decapoda, Varunidae. The record is from RefSeq and is a predicted model, not a curated record.